RNAcentral lists this ribosomal RNA (254 nucleotides) under uncultured bacterium. RNAcentral's name for it is "partial 16S ribosomal RNA". It matches the Rfam family "Bacterial small subunit ribosomal RNA", at positions 526 to 779 of the family's 1533-position model. The record is from RNAcentral.
CGUAGGGUGCGAGCGUUGUCCGGAAUUACUGGGCGUAAAGAGCUCGUAGGCGGUUUGUCACGUCGUCUGUGAAAUCCCUCGGCUUAACCGGGGGCGUGCAGGCGAUACGGGCAGACUUGAGUACUACAGGGGAGACUGGAAUUCCUGGUGUAGCGGUGAAAUACGCAGAUAUCAGGAGGAACACCGGUGGCGAAGGCGGGUCUCUGGGUAGUAACUGACGCUGAGGAGCGAAAGCAUGGGUAGCGAACAGGAUU